AUUCUGGUUGAUCCUACCAGUAAUAUACGCUUGUCUCAAAGGUUAAGCCAUGCAUGUCUAAGUACAAACAUAAAUGAAUGUGAAACCGCAUAAGGCUCAGUAUAACAGCUAUAAUUCACAAGAUCAUCCUACCACUAGUUACUUGGAUAACUGUGGAAAAUCCAGAGCUAAUACAUGCAACAUGCCGGGACUGUUGCCCUCGCGGGUAGCUGAACUGGUGCACUUAUUAGUUAAACCAAUCGCCUCCGGGCGGCUUGAGUUGAAGUCUGGAUAAGGACGCAGAUCGUAUGGUCGCUUGUCGACUGACGACAGAUCUUUCAAAUGUCUGCCCUAUCAACUAUUGAUGGUAGUGUAGAGGACUACCAUGGUUGCGACGGGUAACGGGGAAUCAGGGUUCGAUUCCGGAGAGGGAGCCUGAGAAAUGGCUACCACAUCCAAGGAAGGCAGCAGGCGCGUAAAUUACCCAAUCCCAGUACGGGGAGGUAGUGACGAGAAAUAACAAUAUGGACCUCUCUAACGAUGGUCCAUAAUUGGAAUGAGUUGAGUAUAAAUCCUUCAACAAGGAUCAAGUGGAGGGCAAGUCUGGUGCCAGCAGCCGCGGUAAUUCCAGCUCCACUAGCGUAUAUUAAAGUUGUUGCGGUUAAAACGUUCGAAGUUGAUUGCCCCGUCCCAGACACGUGACCGCCACGGGCGCCCGGUUACACGCCGGGGCCGUUCGUGCGCGCGCUCACGGCUGCGACUUACAAUGGUGUACUUGGCGUUACUCUGUGAACGAGUACCGUGCUACCGGUUAACUCCGGCACGGGCUCCUCAUGGUGCUCAAGAUACUCACAUUUACCUUGAACAAAUUAGAGUGCUCAAAGCAGGCUAAGACAAAGCGUCCGGCCUCCCCGUGGGGUUGCGUUGCUGAGAAUAAUCUUGCAUGAAUAAUGGAAUAUGACCUCGGUUUAUACGAUUUCGUUGGUUUGUCAGAAACUAGAGUAAUGAUUAACAGAAGUAGUUGGGGGCAUUGGUAUUACGGGCGCGAGAGGUGAAAUUCGUAGACCGUCGGUAGGGACCAACUGAAGCGAAAGCGUUUGCCAUGGAUGCUUUCUUUAAUCAAGAACGAAAGUUAGAGGAUCGAAGGCGAUUAGAUACCCGCCCUAGUUCUAACCGUAAACGAUGCCAAUUAGCAAUUUGGGAGGACGCUACCCCUUUCCGGGUGCUCUCAGUCGCUUCCGGGAAACCAAAAUCGGGUUCCGGGGGAAGUAUGGUUUGCAAAGUUGAAACUUAAAUUAUUGAUGGAAGGGCACCACUAGGAAGUGGAUGCUUGCGGCUUAAUUUGACUUAACACGGGAAAAUUACCGGCCAAACUUAUCGAGGUAAGACAGAUUGAUAGCUCUUUCUCAAAUUUAAGGUAGUGGUGCCAUGGCCGUUUCUUAGUUCGUGCGAGAUGAUUUGUCUGGUUAAUUCCGAUAACGAAAACGUGGGGGGGAAACUCCCAAAAAACACUUGCCUAACUAGAACGCCUGUCAGCAGUUGCGCCUCCGGACGCACCUGACGUUACAGCCGGGCGGCGCCUUCACGGGCGGUCGUCGGCUACGUUUGCCCUGCUUACGGGACAACUUGUCGUUAGCAAGCUGAGAAUGAGCGAUAACAGGUCCGUGAUGCCCUUAGAUGUUCUGGGCUGCACGCGUGCUACAAUGUGGUGUCGCAGCCGUGUUCUCGCCAAUAGGGCGCCCCCAGUUUCCGAGUACGGAACGGGAAAUCACUUAAAAUGCCGCCAUCUAGUCGGGAUUGGGGGACUGCAACGGUCCCCCAUGAACCUGGAAUUUCUAGUAAGCACUAGUCAUUAGCUAGUGCUGAUUACGUCCCUGCCCUUUGUACCACACCGCCCGUCGCUACUACCAGUACGGAUUAUUUAGUGAGGUUUCUGGAGCUUACCUUCCGCGGUUCUUCGUGAGCUGCAGCUGGCAUGGCUGAAGUUGACCGAACUUGAUGAUUUUAGAGGAAGUAAAAGUCGUUACAAGGUUUCCGUAGGUGAACCUGCGGAAGGAUCAUUA
This 2042-nucleotide ribosomal RNA is filed under the name Anopheles funestus (African malaria mosquito). Its description in RNAcentral is "eukaryotic small subunit ribosomal RNA". It matches the Rfam family "Eukaryotic small subunit ribosomal RNA". Lineage: Eukaryota; Metazoa; Arthropoda; Insecta; Diptera; Culicidae. The record is from RNAcentral.